AUUUAUAUGAGAGUUUGAUCCUGGCUCAGGAUGAACGCUGGCGGCGUGCCUAAUACAUGCAAGUCGAACGAGUUCUGAUUAUUGAAG
Molecule: ribosomal RNA, 87 nt
Filed under: Lacticaseibacillus rhamnosus 51B
Lineage: Bacteria; Bacillati; Bacillota; Bacilli; Lactobacillales; Lactobacillaceae
Description: Lactobacillus rhamnosus 51B partial 16S ribosomal RNA
Rfam family: Bacterial small subunit ribosomal RNA
Source: RNAcentral